Molecule: unclassified non-coding RNA, 332 nt
Filed under: uncultured fungus
Lineage: Eukaryota; Fungi
Description: partial contains small subunit ribosomal RNA, internal transcribed spacer 1, and 5.8S ribosomal RNA
Rfam family: Eukaryotic small subunit ribosomal RNA (bases 1-73)
Source: RNAcentral
GCAAACUUGGUCAUUUAGAGGAAGUAAAAGUCGUAACAAGGUUUCCGUAGGUGAACCUGCGGAAGGAUCAUUAACGAAUUCGAACCCGGCGCCCCCCCCCGGCUGAUGCUGGCCCCACCUGGGCACGUGCACGCCUCGGGGCGCGCCCUCAAUUCGCUCUCUCCCCCCUUGUGCACUCCAUGUAGGCCGUCGGUUUGGUUCGGCGCCUACGAUUUUUUCUUGUAUGCACACCCCGAUGGCAUGUAACGAGCGUUGAGACGUUUCUUAACAAUCUUUGAAAUACAACUUUCAACAACGGAUCUCUUGGCUCUCGCAUCGAUGAAGAACGCAGC